UACGUAGUCCCUAAGUGGUUUCCACUUGUAUUGGGCCUAAAACACCUGUAGCUGGUAUAGUAAGUCCUUGGUGAAAUCAGUUCGCUCAACGAAUUGAAUUGCUAAAGAUACUGCUAUGCUUGGGGAAGGAAGACGUGAAGGGAAUUUUUAGGGUAGCGGUGAAAUGCGAUGAUCCUAAAAAGACCUCCAGUAGCGAAGGCGCUUCACGAGUACUAUCCCGACAGUGAGAGAUGAAAGCUGGGGGAGCGACCAG
This 253-nucleotide ribosomal RNA is filed under the name uncultured archaeon. Its description in RNAcentral is "partial 16S ribosomal RNA". It matches the Rfam family "Archaeal small subunit ribosomal RNA", at positions 474 to 726 of the family's 1478-position model. The record is from RNAcentral.